CAUCCAUCCAGACCGGUCGAGGGACAGGCCCGACGACGCCGGGGCAACCUCCCGCCUCCCACCAGGGGGUCGGGGUUCGGUGCCAAUUCCUGCGGAGGGCAGCGAUGCCCACUGGAAGAUGGGAC
This 125-nucleotide non-coding RNA is filed under the name Mobilicoccus pelagius. RNAcentral describes it as "SAM-I sequence". It matches the Rfam family "SAM riboswitch aptamer (S box leader)". From Rfam's summary of the family: The SAM riboswitch is found upstream of a number of genes which code for proteins involved in methionine or cysteine biosynthesis in Gram-positive bacteria. The SAM riboswitch acts at the level of transcription termination control. Lineage: Bacteria; Bacillati; Actinomycetota; Actinomycetes; Micrococcales; Dermatophilaceae. RNAcentral also lists the same sequence under 1 other name. The record is from RNAcentral.